GUCUUUGCGAUUCAAGAGAGCCCAGGUUUUGGUCAGUCUGAAGAUGGGUGCACUUUGCAGUGCUGACACCACAGACAUAAGAGAAUGGAGGUUAUUCAGCUCUAGAAGCUUUUUAGCAGUUUUCACAAAAUGGCUCAGUAUUUCUGCCCUUAUUUUUAACGUCUGUGCUGUUAAUAUUUCUCGUACAACCCAAAAACUGACCUGGUUAAACCUCCUAGUGAAGGCAACAAUAUUUGGAGCAAGGAUAUGCUUUUCUUUCUUAUUCC
Molecule: long non-coding RNA, 266 nt
Filed under: Gallus gallus (chicken)
Lineage: Eukaryota; Metazoa; Chordata; Aves; Galliformes; Phasianidae
Source: RNAcentral